CCUACGGGUGGCUGCAGUGGGGAAUAUUGGACAAUGGGGGCAACCCUGAUCCAGCAAUUCUGUGUGCACGAAGACGGUUUUCGGAUUGUAAAGUGCUUUCAGCAGGGAAGAAGGAAGUGACGGUACCUGCAGAAGAAGCGACGGCUAAAUACGUGCCAGCAGCCGCGGUAAUACGUAUGUCGCGAGCGUUAUCCGGAAUUAUUGGGCAUAAAGGGCAUCUAGGCGGCCUAACAAGUCAGGGGUGAAAACCUGCGGCUCAACCGCAGGCUUGCCUUUGAAACUGUGAGGCUAGAGUAUCGGAGAGGUGGACGGAACUGCACGAGUAGAGGUGAAAUUCGUAGAUAUGUGCGGGAAUGCCGAUGAUGAAGAUAGUUCACUGGACGAUAACUGACGCUGAAGUGCGAAAGCCGGGGGAGCAAACAGGAUUAGAUACCCCGGUAGUC
RNAcentral lists this ribosomal RNA (443 nucleotides) under uncultured Leptotrichia sp. RNAcentral describes it as "bacterial SSU rRNA". It matches the Rfam family "Bacterial small subunit ribosomal RNA", at positions 338 to 795 of the family's 1533-position model. Lineage: Bacteria; Fusobacteriati; Fusobacteriota; Fusobacteriia; Fusobacteriales; Leptotrichiaceae. The record is from RNAcentral.